Molecule: non-coding RNA, 283 nt
Organism: Biomphalaria pfeifferi
Lineage: Eukaryota; Metazoa; Mollusca; Gastropoda; Planorbidae
Source: the annotation of a GenBank genome assembly
UAGUCUUCAUAAAGCAUUCUGCACUCAAAUCAACAAAUAUAUGUUUGUAGACCAAUGCAUUGCCUACCUACGCUAGGGGAUUGUCACGGACACCUACAGAGACUGAUCUUCAUCCACUGAUAAUAUUUACAAAAUGCAUAUAUUUAAAAAAAAGAUAAUUUUAGAUAUCCUCUGUCCAUAUAUUUAUUCUAUUUUAUAAUCUGGUUACUGAUGAUGAGGAGGCUAAUGAAACCGUUCUCAUAUAAUGCUAAAAUGUUUAUGGAAAAACAAAAACUAUUCCAAU